ACCCGGUACGAAGUACUUUUAUAAUAAUAUGUAAUCUGUCUUAAUACACCUUGACAAAAUACGUGCGAUGCAAUAUGUGAUUAUUGUUUUAAAAAGACGGUAGUAAACAUUUUCGCCAUUCCUCAAAAAGUGAUACUCCACAAUCUAUAUUUAUUCUUCGCUUCAGAGUUCCUUUAACUUAGUGCUGUCGGCCAAAAUUGUAAAAUUCACCAUUUACGUAUCUUAAAACUUAUACCUACAAAAGUUUAAUUACUAGUAACAUUUUGACUACCCAGAAUGAAUUUAAUGCCAACGUGUUCGUUAGAGGAAAUAAAAAAUCCCUAUGUCCUUCUUGAGCGUUGGAGUAUGAACGAUAUAAAUUGUUACUUAAUGAGACCAGAUACAGAACAAAAUAAUCUAAGUACAGAAGAUGAUAGUGACAGUGAUUUUCAAAAAAGCAUUGAGCAUGUAAAUUCACACGACAACAAAAACUUUGUAAUUAAUUUUACUUCCAACGGCUGUACAGAAGAAAAAAAAAAUCCAUAUGUACUUCUUGAACGUUGGAGUAUGGAUGACAUCAAGUAUUAUCAAGUUUAGUCUUAUAUUAUGUAGACAAAUGACAAUAGUAAAGUAAAAAAAAAAAUUUGAAAAAAAAAUACAUUUUCAAAACCAUUAAUAUUAACAAUAAACCAAUAUAAUUUUUGUAUAUCAUUACUUCUGUAUUACAGCUAUUUUAUCAAUAGGCAGAUUAACAAUCUUAUCCAAAAAUGUGUAAAAGUAUGCACUCAUGAUACAUAAGAAUGUAUUUAUCAUGUACAUUUCAUACUAAUAAUCAAAUAAAUAUAAAUGUAUUAUUUAUUUAUUUUAUAAUAGUAUAUUGCGGCAUUAGUCAAAACUUUCAAGGUGUCAGAUGAUUACAUAUAUUAUUAUUGAUGAUUGUAUUUUAUUUAAUACUUUGAUUAUGUACAAACCCAUUUGGUAAAUUGGAAACCACUUAAUUAUUUAUUUGUAUGUAGAGUAAUUAUCAACAAAGCAAUUUUUUCAUUUGUUUAUUCUCAUUAAUUUUAUGUUAAAUGCUUGUUGUAAAAACUCUUAGUUAUUAAUAUUCUCGACAAUAUUUUUCAAAUAAGUUAAACAUCGUACUUUAGUUUUGAUUAUUCAAUGCAAAUAUUUUUAUUCAAAUUAUAAUAUUAGUUUAUAAUAUUAUUAGAUAAGAUCAUUAAAUCAAACCAGUAGGUGAUUUAACAACAUGUUUAAUUAUUAUUUGAAAUAAUAAUGUAUCACUGGAAGAUGACCUGUGCAGAAACCCAAAAAAAAACAUUAUUAAAUAUGCUUAGACAGAUGUAAAUACAGGAGUAACACAUUUUUUAGCCCGUUAUCUUGUGGGGCAGAUUAUACAUAAUAUUUCAUUUUUCCUAUUUUAAUUAUACUAAUUGUCACUACACAUACUAUUUUAUAUUGUCUUAAUAGUUCUGUCAGAAUUAGAUUAGAAUUAUUAUGUUUGUAAUUAUUUAAGAUCUCUUAAUAAGUGUGUAAAAAUUAUUUUUAAUAUUAUAUUUAUAUUUUCUAAA
Adelges cooleyi (spruce gall adelgid) is the source of this 1550-nucleotide long non-coding RNA. RefSeq lists it as uncharacterized. The record is from RefSeq and is a predicted model, not a curated record. The transcript has 4 exons. NCBI's taxonomy places the organism in Eukaryota, Metazoa, Arthropoda, Insecta, Hemiptera, Adelgidae.